RNAcentral lists this ribosomal RNA (497 nucleotides) under uncultured bacterium. RNAcentral's name for it is "partial 16S ribosomal RNA". It matches the Rfam family "Bacterial small subunit ribosomal RNA", at positions 28 to 507 of the family's 1533-position model. The record is from RNAcentral.
GAUGAACGCUGGCGGCGUGCCUAAUACAUGCAAGUCGAGCGAACAGACGAGGAGCUUGCUUCUCUGACGUUAGCUGCGGACGGGUGAGUAACACGUGGAUAACCUACCUAUAAGACUGGGAUAACUUCGGGAAACCGGAGCUAAUACCGGAUAAUAUAUUGAACCGCAUGGUUCAAUAGUGAAAGACGGUUUUGCUGUCACUUAUAGAUGGAUCCGCGCCGCAUUAGCUAGUUGGUAAGGUAACGGCUUACCAAGGCAACGAUGCGUAGCCGACCUGAGAGGGUGAUCGGCCACACUGGAACUGAGACACGGUCCAGACUCCUACGGGAGGCAGCAGUAGGGAAUCUUCCGCAAUGGGCGAAAGCCUGACGGAGCAACGCCGCGUGAGUGAUGAAGGUCUUCGGAUCGUAAAACUCUGUUAUUAGGGAAGAACAAAUGUGUAAGUAACUAUGCACGUCUUGACGGUACCUAAUCAGAAAGCCACGGCUAACUACGUG